CGCUCUGAAAACUAACUAUCACAGGUGACUUGACUGCCAGUGACUAUAUGUCCUAACGGUAGCGGUACUUUGACCGUGCGAAGGUAGCGCAAUCACUUGUCUUUAAAUGGAGACCUGUAUGAAUGGCACAGACAGAGGGCUUAACUGUCAUCCUUUUUCCAGUCAAUGAACAUUGGAUCUUCCCGUGCAGAAGCAGGGAAUAAUAUCAUAAGACGAGAAGACACCUGUGGAGCUUUAGACACUAAAUCAGCCCUUGUCCAAAAAUCCCAAUUAAAGGAAUGAACCACUAGAGCGAGACCUGAUCUCAAUGUCUUCGGUUGGGGCGACCUUAGGGGAAAGAAAAAUCCCCCAUGCGGACACGGACAAUACCAUGUUUCACAAACACUCACAGAGAGACACACUCAAAGUAUCAAACAACUUUUAGACCAACUAUCAUUAGAUUCCGAGCUCUAACAGACCCGAAUUCAAACGAGAAACCAGAGUUAACCCCACAGAGGAAUAAACUAGACAGACAAACUCCCUACUCUUAUA
This 531-nucleotide ribosomal RNA is filed under the name Amphiprion frenatus (tomato clownfish). Its description in RNAcentral is "partial 16S ribosomal RNA". Lineage: Eukaryota; Metazoa; Chordata; Actinopteri; Pomacentridae. The record is from RNAcentral.